RNAcentral lists this ribosomal RNA (939 nucleotides) under Triticum aestivum (bread wheat). RNAcentral describes it as "partial small subunit ribosomal RNA". Lineage: Eukaryota; Viridiplantae; Streptophyta; Magnoliopsida; Poales; Poaceae. The record is from RNAcentral.
AUGAUCCGCCGCCGCGGCAGUUCCCCCGCGGCGGCGUUGGAAGAUGACGACAUGCUCGGGGAGAUCCUGCUUCGUCUCCCUCCCAGGCCGUCCUCCCUCCCGCGCGCAUCCGCCGUCUGCAAGCGCUGGCGAGGCCUCAUCACCGACCAUGGAUUCCACCGUCGCUUCUACGCACACCACCAUAAGCCGCCCCUCCUCGGCAUGAAUGCAGAGGUCCUUGUCUGUGACCCCAUCACCGGCGACCGGCGUCAUGUGCCGAUUCCGCCAGAGUUUAGGGUUGGCUACGUCAAGGGGACGGUGCUCUGUGCUGCACACGACAAGGGCCACGUUCAUGGCGCUUGCCACUCCACCCCUUUCAAGGUGGUCUUGCUGGUUAUGUGCCAUAAUGAUAGUCCACCUCUCGCCUCUGUUUAUUCCUCCGAGUCCGAUACAUGGGGUGAUAUCUUCUCUGCAAAGGCUCCAUGUCCGAUCUAUUCUGGUGGUCGUCUUAGCACUCUUGUUGGCAAUGCCUUUUAUUGGCCACUUAUGCAUGCAAACGAUGGUAUACUUGAAUUUGAUUUGGAUAGGCAGAGCCUCGAUGUGCUAGAGGGACCUCCCGGUACCGAUAUUCCCCUCGGCCAUCAGAUCAUCCCAGCAAAGGAUGGCACUAUUGGUAUUGCCAUGUUGUCUCGCCAUUACCAUGAUAUUCAAAUGUGGCCGAGGAAGACCAUUGGAACACAUAGCAUUCCUGAGCUCCCACCACAGAUUGAAGGAGAGAAGCCAUGGGUGAAGUUUAUACUAGGGUAUGAUGAGGAUACUGAUGGAAUAAUUUUAUACGUGAAACACAACGUCUACAUGGUUCAACUUAAGUCGAUGCAAUGUAGGAGACUUUUUGGAAGUUGGAAUGUUACUCACUAUCAUUGUUUCAAGAGUUUCUAUGCGCCAGGUGUGUCAAUGUAG